UACGUAGGGAGCAAGCGUUGUCCGGAAUCAUUGGGCGUAAAGCGCGCGUAGGCGGCCUCAUAAGUCCGUUGUGAAAGUCAAAGGCUCAACCUUUGAAAGCCGAUGGAUACUGUGAGGCUAGAGUCCGGAAGAGGCGAGUGGAAUUCCUGGUGUAGCGGUGGAAUGCGCAGAUAUCAGGAGGAACACCAAUAGCGAAGGCAGCUCGCUGGGACGGUACUGACGCUAAGGCGCGAAAGCGUGGGGAGCGAACGAGG
This 254-nucleotide ribosomal RNA is filed under the name uncultured bacterium. RNAcentral describes it as "partial 16S ribosomal RNA". It matches the Rfam family "Bacterial small subunit ribosomal RNA", at positions 524 to 777 of the family's 1533-position model. The record is from RNAcentral.